CUGCUCUCUUGUUUAUGUAUUCAUCCGGGUCUCUCUGUCCCCCAUCCUGGUAGCCCCGCCCCUUUUCUCCUGGGACUGGUUGCUAAGGGUUUGGCUUCCUGGGGCA
Molecule: long non-coding RNA, 106 nt
Organism: Gavialis gangeticus (Gharial)
Lineage: Eukaryota; Metazoa; Chordata; Crocodylia; Gavialidae
Exons: 3
Source: RefSeq, a predicted model, not a curated record